RNAcentral lists this ribosomal RNA (541 nucleotides) under Teratoscincus scincus (Common wonder gecko). RNAcentral's name for it is "partial 16S ribosomal RNA". It matches the Rfam family "Bacterial large subunit ribosomal RNA", at positions 1817 to 2597 of the family's 2925-position model. The record is from RNAcentral. Lineage: Eukaryota; Metazoa; Chordata; Lepidosauria; Squamata; Sphaerodactylidae.
AGCCUUUAGCCAAACAAGUAUUAAAGGUACUGCCUGCCCAGUGACUAUUUAAACGGCCGCGGUAUCCUAACCGUGCAAAGGUAGCAUAAUCAUUUGCCUCCUAAUUAGAGGCCAGCAUGAACGGCUAAAUGAGGACAUAACUGUCUCCUAGAGCAAGUCAAUGAACCUGAUCUUCCAGUCCAAAAGCUGGAAUAAAACCAUAAGACAAGAAGACCCUGUGGAGCUUAAAAUACUAAUGCUACUACCACAAAACCACCCCACCAAUGGCCCAAAAACGUAAACUAGCACCCAUUUUUAGUUGGGGCGACUAUGGAGUAAAACAAAACCUCCACGACAAGGAUAGCCUCCCACAAAGGCCUACAAGCCAAAAACACCAUGACCCAGUAAUACUGAUCAACGAACCAAGUUACCCCAGGGAUAACAGCGCCAUCCUCUUUAAGAGCCCCUAUCGCCAAGAGGGUUUACGACCUCGAUGUUGGAUCAGGACCCCCUAGUGGCGCAGCCGCUACUAAAGGUUCGUUUGUUCAACGACUAACGUCCU